RNAcentral lists this ribosomal RNA (253 nucleotides) under uncultured bacterium. RNAcentral's name for it is "partial 16S ribosomal RNA". It matches the Rfam family "Bacterial small subunit ribosomal RNA", at positions 524 to 776 of the family's 1533-position model. The record is from RNAcentral.
UACGGGGGGGGCAAGCGUUGUUCGGAAUCACUGGGCGUAAAGCGCACGUAGGCGGAUCGUUAAGUCAGGGGUGAAAUCCUGGAGCUCAACUCCAGAACUGCCCUUGAUACUGGCGACCUUGAGUUCGGGAGAGGUGAGUGGAACUGCGAGUGUAGAGGUGAAAUUCGUAGAUAUUCGCAAGAACACCAGUGGCGAAGGCGGCUCACUGGCCCGAUACUGACGCUGAGGUGCGAAAGCGUGGGGAGCAAACAGG